GUAGUUAGCCGGGGCUUUCUAAUGGGGUACCGUCACUUCCUUCGUCCCCCACAACAGAGGUUUACAAUCCGAAAACCUUCUUCCCUCACGCGGCGUUGCUGGGUCAGGCUUUCGCCCAUUGCCCAAUAUUCCCCACUGCUGCCUCCCGUAGGAGUCUGGACCGUGUCUCAGUUCCAGUGUGGCCGUUCAGCCUCUCAGCUCGGCUACCCAUCGUCGGCUUGGUGGGCUGUUAUCUCACCAACUACCUAAUGGGACGCGAACCCCUCCUUUAGCGGAUUGCUCCUUUGACCCCUUCGCCAUGUGGCAUUGUGGUCUUAUGCGGUAUUAGCACUUGUUUCCAGGUGUUAUCCCCCUCUAAAGGUCAGGUUGUUCACGCGUUACUCACCCGUCCGCCACUAAACUUACAUCCGAAAACAUAAGUUCCGUUCGACUUGCAUGUGUUAGGCACGCCGCCAGCGUUCGUCCUGAGCCAUAAUCAAACUCUGA
RNAcentral lists this ribosomal RNA (486 nucleotides) under uncultured bacterium. RNAcentral's name for it is "partial 16S ribosomal RNA". The record is from RNAcentral.